RNAcentral lists this transfer RNA (58 nucleotides) under Drosophila auraria. RNAcentral describes it as "tRNA-Arg". The record is from RNAcentral. Lineage: Eukaryota; Metazoa; Arthropoda; Insecta; Diptera; Drosophilidae.
GAAUAUGAAGCGAUUAAUUGCAGUUAGUUUCGACCUAACCUUAGGUAAUUUUACCCUU